This 71-nucleotide transfer RNA is filed under the name Pseudomonadota bacterium. Its description in RNAcentral is "tRNA-Gln". It matches the Rfam family "tRNA". From Rfam's summary of the family: Transfer RNA (tRNA) molecules are approximately 80 nucleotides in length. Their secondary structure includes four short double-helical elements and three loops (D, anti-codon, and T loops). Further hydrogen bonds mediate the characteristic L-shaped molecular structure. tRNAs have two regions of fundamental functional importance: the anti-codon, which is responsible for specific mRNA codon recognition, and the 3' end, to which the tRNAs corresponding amino acid is attached (by aminoacyl-tRNA synthetases). tRNAs cope with the degeneracy of the genetic code in two manners: having more than one tRNA (with a specific anti-codon) for a particular amino acid; and 'wobble' base-pairing, i.e. permitting non-standard base-pairing at the 3rd anti-codon position. Lineage: Bacteria; Pseudomonadati; Pseudomonadota. RNAcentral also lists the same sequence under 3 other names. The record is from RNAcentral.
UGGGGGAUCGUCCAACGGCAGGACAGCGGACUUUGGAUCCGUUAAUCCUGGUUCGAAUCCAGGUCCCCCAG